Molecule: non-coding RNA, 89 nt
Filed under: Rhizobacter sp. Root404
Lineage: Bacteria; Pseudomonadati; Pseudomonadota; Betaproteobacteria; Burkholderiales; Sphaerotilaceae
Description: Burkholderia RNA 7 (anti-hemB)
Rfam family: Burkholderia RNA 7 (anti-hemB)
About the family: This RNA motif was identified by computational search in b-proteobacteria Burkholderia. Co-purified with Hfq, expression confirmed by Northern blot.
Source: Rfam by way of RNAcentral
UCCCUGCUUUUCCUCCCUGAGCAGGUGCCCGACCGUGAUGACAGCGUGAAGGCAUUUCAAGCCCCGGCCCCGUGCCGGGGCUUUUCUUU